RNAcentral lists this ribosomal RNA (1491 nucleotides) under uncultured Bordetella sp. RNAcentral describes it as "partial 16S-23S ribosomal RNA intergenic spacer". It matches the Rfam family "Bacterial small subunit ribosomal RNA". Lineage: Bacteria; Pseudomonadati; Pseudomonadota; Betaproteobacteria; Burkholderiales; Alcaligenaceae. The record is from RNAcentral.
AGUUCAAUUAUGGCUCAGAUUGAACGCUGGCGGGAUGCUUUACACAUGCAAGUCGAACGGCAGCACGGACUGGUUCAGUGGCGAGUGGCGAACGGGUGAGUAAUGGGUUUGGAACGUGCCUAGUAGUGGAUAACUACGCGAAAGCGUAGCUAAUACCGCAUACGCCCCUUGGGGAAAGCGGGGACUGGGCCUCGCACUAAUAGAGCGGCUGAUAUCGAUUAGCUGGUUGUGGUGAACGCUCACCAAGCUAAUGAUCCGUAGCUGGUUUGAGAGGACGACCAGCCACACUGGGACUAGAGACACGGCCCAGACUCCGCCGGAGGCAGCAGUGGGGAAUUUUGACAAUGGGAAUCCCUGAUCCAGCCAUCCGCGGUGCGAUGCAGGCCUCGCUGUAAAGCACUUUUGGCAGGAAAGAAACGGCACGGAUAAUACCCCUGCGCAACUGAUUGGUACCUGCAGAAUAAGCACCGGCAACCACGCCAGCAGCCGCGGUAUAUGUAGUAAAGCGUUAACGGAAUUACUGGCGUAAAGUGCGCAGGCGUCGGAAAGAAAGAUGUGAACCAGAGCUAACUUUGGAACUACUUUUAACUACCGAGCUAGAGUGUAGUCAGAGGGAGGUGGAAUUCCGCGUGUAGCAGUGAAAUGCGUAGAUAUGGAGUGAACACCGAUGGCGAAGGCAGCCUCCUGGGAUAACACUGACGCUCAUGCACGAAAGCGUGGGGAGCAAACAGGAUUAGAUACCCUGGUAGUCCACGCCUCAAACGAUGUCAACUAGCUAAGUUAGGGGGCCUUCGGGCCUUGGUAGCGCAGCUAACGGCAGGAAGUUAACGCCUGGGAGCACAAUGCAAGAUUAAAAACUCAAAGGAAUUGACGGGGACCCGCACAAGCGGUGGAUGAUGUGGAUUGGUUCGAUGCAACGCGAAAAACCUUACCUUACCCUUGACAUGUCUGAAUCCUGAAGAGACGGGGGAGUGCUCGCAAGAGAACCGGAACACAGGUGCUGCAUGGCUGUCGCUCAGUCGUCGUGAGAUGUUGGGUUAAGUCCCGCAACGAGCGCAACUUUGUCAUUAGUUGCUGAUGAAAGGCACCUUAAUGAGACUGCCGGUGACAACCGGAGGAAGGUGGGGAUGACGUCAAGUCCUCAGCGCAUCUAUGGUAGGGCUUUCUACCGUCAUACAAUGGUCGGGAGGAGGUGUCGCCAACCGGUGAUGGGGAGCCAAUCCUGUGAAACCCGAUCGUAGUCCGGAUCGCAGUCUGCAACCUGACUGCGCGGAAGUCGGAAUCGCUAGUAAUCGCGGAUCAGCAUGUCCGCGGUGAAUAUGCUCCCGGCCCUGUACACACCGCCCGUCAUGUUCAAGGGAGUGGGUUUUACCAGAAGUAGUUAGCCUAACUGUAAGGAGGGCGAUUACCACGGUAGGAUUCAUGACUGGGGUGAAGUCGUAACAAGGUAACCUGAGCAUUACCUGAUGCUCCGGUGAGCAACAUGUGAAU